UUGCGCUAUCAGAUGAGCCUAGGUCGGAUUAGCUAGUUGGUGGGGUAAUGGCUCACCAAGGCGACGAUCCGUAACUGGUCUGAGAGGAUGAUCAGUCACACUGGAACUGAGACACGGUCCAGACUCCUACGGGAGGCAGCAGUGGGGAAUAUUGGACAAUGGGCGAAAGCCUGAUCCAGCCAUGCCGCGUGUGUGAAGAAGGUCUUCGGAUUGUAAAGCACUUUAAGUUGGGAGGAAGGGUUGUAGAUUAAUACUCUGCAAUUUUGACGUUACCGACAGAAUAAGCACCGGCUAACUCUGUGCCAGCAGCCGCGGUAAUACAGAGGGUGCAAGCGUUAAUCGGAAUUACUGGGCGUAAAGCGCGCGUAGGUGGUUAGUUAAGUUGGAUGUGAAAUCCCCGGGCUCAACCUGGGAACUGCAUUCAAAACUGACUGACUAGAGUAUGGUAGAGGGUGGUGGAAUUUCCUGUGUAGCGGUGAAAUGCGUAGAUAUAGGAAGGAACACCAGUGGCGAAGGCGACCACCUGGACUGAUACUGACACUGAGGUGCGAAAGCGUGGGGAGCAAACAGGAUUAGAUACCCU
RNAcentral lists this ribosomal RNA (583 nucleotides) under Pseudomonas sp. P32. RNAcentral describes it as "bacterial SSU rRNA". It matches the Rfam family "Bacterial small subunit ribosomal RNA", at positions 213 to 788 of the family's 1533-position model. Lineage: Bacteria; Pseudomonadati; Pseudomonadota; Gammaproteobacteria; Pseudomonadales; Pseudomonadaceae. The record is from RNAcentral.